Molecule: ribosomal RNA, 392 nt
Filed under: uncultured bacterium
Lineage: Bacteria
Description: partial 16S ribosomal RNA
Rfam family: Bacterial small subunit ribosomal RNA
Source: RNAcentral
AUACGGAGGAUCCGAGCGUUAUCCGGAUUUAUUGGGUUUAAAGGGUGCGCAGGCGGCCAUUUAAGUCAGCGGUUAAAUCGUGGGGCUCAACCCCAUUCUGCCGUUGAUACUGGGUGGCUUGAUUGCGGUCGAGGUUGGCGGAAUUCGUUGUGUAGCGGUGAUAUGCAUAGAUAUGACGAAGAACACCGAUUGCGUAGGCAGCUGACCAGACCGCAAAUGACGCUCAUGCACGAAAGUGCGGGGAUCGAACAGGAUUAGAUACCCUGGUAGUCCGCACAGUAAACGAUGAAUACUUGUUUUCGGCGAUAUAAUGUCGGAGGCAAAGCGAAAGCGAUAAGUAUUCCACCUGGGGAGUACGCCGGCAACGGUGAAACUCAAAUGAAUUGACGGGG